This 2803-nucleotide long non-coding RNA is filed under the name Anolis carolinensis (green anole). RNAcentral's name for it is "lncRNA (ENSACAG00000036264.1)". Lineage: Eukaryota; Metazoa; Chordata; Lepidosauria; Squamata; Anolidae. The record is from RNAcentral.
AUGGCUGAGAUGGCUGGAGAAAGCUUCAUUUCCAGCAUGGAAAAGCUAUCUGAUGAAAAUUAUGCAUCGUGGUCAGUAAUGAUGCGGUCUUUACUCGAAGCACAGGAUUUGCAUAAUACACUAGAUGGAACAGAUCAAAAUGCUGAGCACAGGAGGAAAGCCAAAGCAUAUUUGAUACUGUGCCUUCAACCAAACCAACUUGUCCAUGUGAGAAACAAGGACACUCGUGAGGAGAUAUGGCAAGCUUUAAGAGAUGUCCAUCAGAGGGAGACUUGCAUGUCUCAGAUGAUUUGGACUAAGAGGCUGUUUUCAGCAAAGCUUGUUCAGGGCCAGGAUGUCAGAAAACAUUUGGACAAUCUAAAGCAAUUAUUGAUUGGAGCUGAGGAAAGAGGCCUACAAUAUUCUGAAGCACAGAAGUGUUAUCUGGUACUGUGCAGCUUGUCUGAGGACUGGGACUUUCUGGUACAUUCUUUCCAGAAUGUGAGAGUCCAGGAUUUGGCUUUGGAUUCAGUGUGUGGGAGAAUCCAAGAAGAAGUGGACCGGAGAUCGUUUGAAGUGGCCCAGAAGCAGACGAUGGCACAGUGCGACCAGGAGGGGACGCAAGUGGUCGGCUUUGGUCCUAAUGGUGUUCCUGGGAAUCGUGAGGAAGUUGCAGUACAUCAGGUCAAAACACACCAUUGUUUUGUCUGCAACAGGCCGGGGCAUUUUGCCAAGAGUUGCCCAAACAACAAGGCUAGAAGUUCUCGUGGGAACAGAGGGGCAAGGAAUUUGUCAACAACAACUAAGCCCCAAGUGUUUAUGGCUGUGGUGAAUGGAAGGAUCACCGAAAAGAACAAAUGGUAUUUGGACUCAGGUUGUACACACCAUGUUGUUACAAAUCUAAAACUUUUGAAAACCAGAAGGGAUGUGUCUGGAACAGCAGUGACUUUGGCUGAUGGAACUGAGAGGAAGUUCAACAAAUGUGGCACUGUGUUCAUCCCUUGCUUGAAUGUGGAUUGGGAAAAUGUACUCUACAUCCCAGAAUUAAGUUCUAAUUUGUUAAGUGUGGCUACCUUAACAGAGAACGGAUAUAGAGUAAUUUUUAGCGGAAUCUAUUGCUAUAUUCAGAGAGAUGGACGAGUAGUAGCAAAAGGUGUAAAAAGAAAUAAAAUGUAUAUGAUGUUUGACAAAAAUAACUUUCCAGAUGGGGCACAAGUUUAUUGUGUGAAACAGAAGAUUAUGCAUGACAGGUGUAUCCAUCAUCUUCACAGAGCGAUGGGUCAUGCACGUGUAGAGGUGCUCAGAAAAACUUUAGAAAUAUGCACAGACUUUGAGUGUGAGAAAUGUGAAAAUUUAUUAGACUGUGCAGUUUGUUCAGAGAUGGGAAUUGAAUCAAAAGAGCAUCCUAAAAGAUCUGGAAUUAAGACCCAGGAAAUGUUUGAAAUGGUCCAUCUAUAUGUAACAGAAUCUGAUGUAAAAAGCCAGGGAGGUUCUCAAUUUACUUUGCUGUUAGUAGAUAGACACACGAGAUUUGGUUAUAUUUACUUCCUUAAGGAUUUGAAGGAAGCUGUUGUAAAGGUGUCUAAUUGGAUAAACAAGGUUCAAAGGGUCUAUGAACAGCAUGUAGGUCAAAUAGUUUUUGACAAAGGAAUUAAUGUGUGUAAUGAAGAGAUGAAGAAAAUGUUGAGUGAAAGGAAUAUAGGUUUUAAAAAUGUAAAAUCAAAUAAGUCAAAUGAAGAAGGUGUGGCUCAAAAUAGGAUGAAGCAAAUUCUUCACAUGACUUAUUUGAUUCUGAAUGCUUUUGUUGUUGUUUUGAUGCCUCUGGCCCAAAGAAUAGCUUGCUACUGUUUUGCUAUUCCCAACCAUAACAUUCUGUUUCAUUACACUUCAAAAAAUUAGACAUUAGAUUUACAAGAAGGCAAUAGAUUGCCGCUUUAGGUACAAGAUUGCUUUAGAAUUGAAGGGUAAUACAGUACACCAUUGUUUAGCUUGUGUUUUUCAGUUAUAAAGUUUUUAUUUUGAUCAUACUUUUUACAUCAUAUUGUUCAUCCUUGUGCUUUCAUAGUCCUGUUCCAUUCUUUAAUUGUUUUAAGAACAAUGGGGAGAAAGUAUAUAAUGCAAGUGUAGAAAGUAUGCAGCUCCCCAAUUACUGUUGUACUGAAACUUUUAGCAGCCACAUCCAAUAUAGUGGAAUGUGAAUAAAAUACGUAGAUAGAGAAGAAAGGAGACAAUAUUCAACCCUGAUAUGGAUAAUAAGCGCUGGGGAUCAGGUUUCAUAACAGCUUGUCCCACAACCUCUGACGGACGUUCCAUUACCAAUUGGGGUGGGGGAGUCACACUGCCUACAUUCAUAUUUGAUCCCAUUACAUUUAUAUCUAACUCUGUGAACAGAAAUGAUUCUACCCCCACUCAAAUAAUGCAGAUUGGUUACAUUGAAUAAUAUCUGCUUCUUCAGGAUAGGAACCUCCAGUGGCAGCUGAUGCCAGGGAUCUGCAGGAAGAAGGUCAAAAGAACAAAUAUUCUACUUGCUGAAAUCUUUACUGGAUCAAAGAGAUUUCUAUCAGCAAAUAGAGUACAAUCCUGCAACUGAAGUAUUGAUUUAUUUGGAGCACACAGAACGGUAUCACUGGCUAAUAUUGUGUGGAUGCAGAGGUGGCAAAUAUAUCAUAUUGCUUUGCUUUUUGCAGUUGACAGUACUGUUACAAUACUAUAAAAAACUUCAGUUAGUUCAAAAUGCUGUGGCUAGACUGUCACCUAGGGCUGGUUCCUGCCUCAACCGAAACAACUUCAUCGACUGCCAGUUCACUUCUGGGCAAUUCAAAGU